AUUGAACGCUGGCGGAAUGCUUUACACAUGCAAGUCGAACGGCAGCACGGGGCAACCUGGUGGCGAGUGGCGAACGGGUGAGUAAUACAUCGGAACGUGCCCAGUCGUGGGGGAUAACGUAGCGAAAGUUACGCUAAUACCGCAUACGAUCUAUGGAUGAAAGCGGGGGAUCGCAAGACCUCGCGCGAUUGGAGCGGCCGAUGUCAGAUUAGGUAGUUGGUGGGGGUAAAGGCCUACCAAGCCGACGAUCUGUAGCUGGUCUGAGAGGACGACCAGCCACACUGGGACUGAGACACGGCCCAGACUCCUACGGGAGGCAGCAGUGGGGAAUAUUGGACAAUGGGCGCAAGCCUGAUCCAGCAAUGCCGCGUGAGUGAUGAAGGCCUUAGGGUUGUAAAGCUCUUUCACCGGGGAAGAUAAUGACGGUACCCGGAGAAGAAGCCCCGGCUAACUCCGUGCCAGCAGCCG
This 468-nucleotide ribosomal RNA is filed under the name uncultured bacterium. Its description in RNAcentral is "bacterial SSU rRNA". It matches the Rfam family "Bacterial small subunit ribosomal RNA", at positions 29 to 517 of the family's 1533-position model. The record is from RNAcentral.